Molecule: non-coding RNA, 3638 nt
Organism: Oncorhynchus mykiss (rainbow trout)
Lineage: Eukaryota; Metazoa; Chordata; Actinopteri; Salmoniformes; Salmonidae
Source: RefSeq, a predicted model, not a curated record
CCCCCUUCCAACUCAAAACUCUUUAUUGAUGCCGUUCUAUUGUUCUGUGGCGACUGACGGUUCGUUUUCGUCAAGAUGUAUUUUUUUCCUGAAUAUCUUAUUAGUUUACUUUAAUUUUAGAAGUGACGAAUGAUAGCUAAGACUAAUAUGUAACAGGUCUCGUGUGACUGUAGUAUGGUAGUUUAAAGUGAUCAGAUAAAGUAACUAUCUAACGUUACCUGCUAGCUUGUUUUUCGACGCCGACAUUAUUUGUUGCCUCAGCUUUUUUGCGAUGGUUGCUUUUACUUGAGUACUGAAUUACUUACGAUUCGUAUGCAAUAAGAUUAACAUAGCUAUAAGAAACGAUCAAGCUGACGUGUCCGUUCUGAAAGAUGAAAGCCACAACAAGAUUAUCGUUAGGUGGCAGGGUAUUGUUGUUAUCCUCGUCAGUUACGUAGUUAAACACAGAAGAAUGGUUAUUUCAGCUGAGUUGGCAUCUCUACGCUAAGUAACAGCGAACAUGUCACAUUUGUUAACUACGGUACCUAGCCAAGAAGGCUUAUUUACCAAGCAAAAUCGCGGCGUUUGACGAUGUAGUGGAGAAAUGGCUGCCCGGGUGACUCAGUGCUGGUGCAGCUAUCUGAAGUCAAAAUGUUUUAAAGCUCAUGAAAGAAUCAGGUUGUAUAAGUGUAAUUGAAAUAACCAAGUUACAAGACCAGAACCUUAUGAAGGGAGUGAAGCCGUUCGAAUAGCCAGCUAAAUAUUUGAAUAGAAAUAAGUGGGACCUACGCUCAAUAUCUACUUCAAUGCGUAUACUAUUUUCUUAACCUAAAAUGAAGACUAGUUUACAAGAUAAAUUUGAGCCCUUGGGAAUGGGCCGUAAAAUAUACCACUUACAAGACUGCCAUCUUGUGAAGACACGGAGAAUGGCCAGCUAAAUAUUUGAAGAUCAAGUUGAGCGUAGGUCCCUUAUAUCCGAGGCAGUUGAUAUACCUCAGUGCGUUAGAAGUGUUGCUUUUAGUUGGUUGCGCAUCAGGAAAAACAAUUUUAUAGUGAAAAGGGAACCAAGGUACAAGACUAUCCUUUCAAAAGUUUACGCUUUGAUUCUAGCCAGAAAAAAAUGUUUUAUCUAAACUGAAUAAGUACUGGUAGUUUGUCUCAAAUCAGUAUAGGCGACAUGUGAAAUAACCAAGUUACUGAUCUUGAAUCAUAUGAGAAGUUGUGAAGCCUCUUGAAUAGCCAACUGAAUAUUGGAAGUUGUGCUGCAGUGGCCUUUUGAUCAUUUGAGUUAUAUUUAUUGAUUUACAUUUUUUUUUUUACGUGAAGUACAAUAUGUGCUUAUUUUGUGAAACUUUUAUUUCAAUAGCAAACGAAAUAUUGGAAGAUAAUUUAGGCCAACAGUGCCUGUUUGUCGGUCAUUUAAGCUGCUUCAAGAAGUAAAAAUAUUUUGAGCCUAAAAUGAACAAGAUGUGCUGCCGGUUACAUUUCCAAGUACAGCAGUUGCUUUGCUAGCACUAGCGGUAGGUCAAGGAGGUGCAGGCUCGUGACGUUGCUUUGCUAGCACUAGCGGUAGGUCAAGGAGGUGCAGGCUCGUGGCUUUGCUAGCACUAGCGGUAGGUCAAGGAGGUGCAGGCUCGUGACGUUGCUUUGCUAGCACUAGCGGUAGGUCAAGGAGGUGCAGGCUCGUGACGUUGCUUUGCUAGCACUAGCGGUAGGUCAAGGAGGUGCAGGCUCGUGACGUUGCUUUGUCACGCUUCAGAUUUGAUAAACUUCAUCUAAACACAAUUGGCUCUAGUUGGCGAAGAAAAGAAGAUUUUGCUGUAGAAGAAUGGACUGAAGAAUGGACUUUUACGGGGUGGGGGGGGCACUUAGCUAGUAUGCAGUUUGAUCAGAUGAGGAAGGACUACUUCAGGAUCAGGCAGAAGGAAACUGGGAGGACCAGCGGGGAGCCAGGCAGGAUCCAGGUGGAUCGCGGGAGGAGCAGAUGGGACCCAGUUGAGCGAGCGGAACGCAGCAGUUUUCAUCAGAGGGAGCGCGCCAGAUGGCAGGGUAGCGAGCUGAGAGCGGAGCAGUCCCAGGUCGAGCGUUGCCCCAAUGCAGCCAGUGGGUCCCAGCAGAAAUGAGGCAGACGAGUAAAAGGGUCAACUAGCUUCGCAAGUGACAAGUGUUUGUAUGAUGGGUAGUGGUAUCGAGUAAUGUUUAACUGGGCCAACAUCUUUGAAAUUAGUCCAUAUUAAAUCUGUCAACACAUUUUCUCGCGAAGUUUUCUUCCUCUUUCAGGUAAAGUGUUAAUUUUCCUGGUUGUGCCCUCUUCCUGUGUGAUGUCUGCUGUGAUGAGUCCCCCUUGGCCUACUUGGUAGAGUGCACUGGCGAGAGGACUGUCUUAAAGGAUUUCACCCUCCUGCAGCGCAGAUGUAGUACCCCCCCUGGGCGGAGGAGUUUCUUCAUUGAGUUCAAUAGGUCUACUCCCCUGAGAAGUGGUCUACAUGGGAGUGUUGCGAGUCGAAAUUCUUCUGUUCGUUCGUGCUGCUUUGGUGCUGAGCAGCUACAUCUGCUGGUUAAAGCUCGCACCUUAAAGCAAACCUGACCAUCCAAGGGAGUCCCUCUUUAGUACUGCUCACCACAUUAAUGAAAACGGUUGAGCACGUUCCGAAACAGAUCAUUCUAAGGAUGGAUCAAGGGAAAUCUCUGGUGUUAAAAUCAUGUAGGAAGGUAUUUUGUACUGGUUUUCUAUAGUGAGUUAAUCAUUUGCAUAUACUGUUUUUCUUCCAAUAUUUUGUAGGGAUACACACUUGGGUUCUGGGAGGGUUGUGGGGGUGUUAAUCAAAUAUUUUCCUAGAGUUUUUUUCACACAGCUUCGUGUAAAGCAGCAUUUUAAAGAUCCAAAUGAUUAGCGUUGAUGUUUGAGGAGCAAGGAGUCAACCCAGUGGUCCGGUCCACGUCUUUCGGGGUUCCUUUUGCCUUGUGGUGUGGAUAUUCCUUGGUGUCUACAAUGAUGUAGCAGGAGGCGGGCCACCUUUUGGGAUGUGAACUUGCGGUGUUCUCCCAGGGAGUGUGGUAACUUAACUUUUAGGCUGAUGCAUUAUAUAUCCUUGAGUUGAAAUUUGCAUUUGGGGUUUCUGGGGUCAGGGGAGGGCUUAACUGUGACUCUUCCAGAUUAUGACCCACCCCUCAAUGAAAGAUUGGAGGUCUACAUCUCCCCCGUCUUAAGGAGAACAGCUGAUGCCUUGAGGCCAGUGGUAUUUAACUGUUUCUUGUGUAAAGUUAUUGUGUACGUGAAUUUGUGUAUUUUAAUUGUAUUUUAGCAACUGUUAAUAGAAUUUUGAUAGUGGGUUGGUUACUGUCUGGGUUUGUAUGGGUGGGAAUGGUGGAAGUCUUGUUUUCCAGUGUGCUGUGUCCUACGCUUUCAGUACUGAAGAUCAACAGGAACGCCCCUAACUCAUUGUAUGUCAAGGUUUACUGUUGCUUCAAAACACCUCAUUAGGUCUCAAGUAAGGUCCCUUACAAAUGUUUUCACAUUUUUAUAUUUCAUUAAUGACAUUUGGCACCUUGCCUUAAUUGCACGCCUUUGCAAAUUAGUUAAAUGUUUUGUAUUGAUGCAACUGAACAUUGUCAAGGAAUUAUAAUUGGUAAUAAAUGCAUAGCUUUUUGUGAUUGAA